RNAcentral lists this ribosomal RNA (423 nucleotides) under uncultured bacterium. RNAcentral's name for it is "bacterial SSU rRNA". It matches the Rfam family "Bacterial small subunit ribosomal RNA", at positions 355 to 774 of the family's 1533-position model. The record is from RNAcentral.
UAAGGAAUAUUGGUCAAUGGAGGGAACUCUGAACCAGCCAUUCCGCGUGAAGGAUGACGGCCCUCUGGGUUGUAAACUUCUUUAGUCUGGGAAGAAAAGUUUGCAUUUAUGCGAAUCUGACGGUACCAGAAGAAUAAGCACCGGCUAACUCCGUGCCAGCAGCCGCGGUAAUACGGAGGGUGCAAGCGUUAUCCGGAAUCACUGGGUUUAAAGGGUGCGUAGGCGGCAUUAUAAGUCAGGAGUGAAAUUCCACAGCUUAACUGUAGGGACUGCUUUUGAUACUGUAGUGCUAGAACCGAGAUGAGGUAGGCGGAAUGUGACAUGUAGCGGUGAAAUGCAUAGAUAUGUCAUAGAACACCAAUUGCGAAGGCAGCUUACUAGACUUAGGUUGACGCUGAGGCACGAAAGCGUGGGGAGCAAACA